RNAcentral lists this ribosomal RNA (857 nucleotides) under uncultured Bacteroidota bacterium. RNAcentral describes it as "bacterial SSU rRNA". It matches the Rfam family "Bacterial small subunit ribosomal RNA", at positions 1 to 851 of the family's 1533-position model. The record is from RNAcentral. Lineage: Bacteria; Pseudomonadati; Bacteroidota.
GGAUCCAGACUUUGAUUCUGGCUCAGGAUGAACGCUAGCUACAGGCUUAACACAUGCAAGUCGAGGGGCAGCAUGGUCUUAGCUUGCUAAGGCCGAUGGCGACCGGCGCACGGGUGAGUAACACGUAUCCAACCUGCCGUCUACUCUUGGACAGCCUUCUGAAAGGAAGAUUAAUACAAGAUGGCAUCAUGAGUCCGCAUGUUCACAUGAUUAAAGGUAUUCCGGUAGACGAUGGGGAUGCGUUCCAUUAGAUAGUAGGCGGGGUAACGGCCCACCUAGUCUUCGAUGGAUAGGGGUUCUGAGAGGAAGGUCCCCCACAUUGGAACUGAGACACGGUCCAAACUCCUACGGGAGGCAGCAGUGAGGAAUAUUGGUCAAUGGGCGAGAGCCUGAACCAGCCAAGUAGCGUGAAGGAUGACUGCCCUAUGGGUUGUAAACUUCUUUUAUAAAGGAAUAAAGUCGGGUAUGCAUACCCGUUUGCAUGUACUUUAUGAAUAAGGAUCGGCUAACUCCGUGCCAGCAGCCGCGGUAAUACGGAGGAUCCGAGCGUUAUCCGGAUUUAUUGGGUUUAAAGGGAGCGUAGAUGGAUGUUUAAGUCAGUUGUGAAAGUUUGCGGCUCAACCGUAAAAUUGCAGUUGAUACUGGAUAUCUUGAGUGCAGUUGAGGCAGGCGGAAUUCGUGGUGUAGCGGUGAAAUGCUUAGAUAUCACGAAGAACUCCGAUUGCGAAGGCAGCCUGCUAAGCUGCAACUGACAUUGAGGCUCGAAAGUGUGGGUAUCAAACAGGAUUAGAUACCCUGGUAGUCCACACGGUAAACGAUGAAUACUCGCUGUUUGCGAUAUACAGCAAGCGGCCAGG